RNAcentral lists this ribosomal RNA (1400 nucleotides) under metagenome. Its description in RNAcentral is "bacterial LSU rRNA". It matches the Rfam family "Bacterial large subunit ribosomal RNA", at positions 1503 to 2925 of the family's 2925-position model. The record is from RNAcentral.
AAGCCCGGUGCAAGCGAAGUAGUCGCAGGGUUGGAAAAUCCGCCCUGCAUAAGACGAAGGCGUGAUGCGGAGCGAAAUGAAGUAGUGAAGCUGCGGCCCCUUCCUGUCGAGAAAAGCCGCUAUCGUGUAGCAAGGGCCCGUACCGUAAACCGACACAGGUGGAUGAGGAGAGGAUCCUAAGGCCGGCGGGAGAAGUGUUGUUAAGGAACUCGGCAAAAUGACUCCGUAACUUCGGGAGAAGGAGUGCUGCGCAAGCAGCCGCAGAGAAAUGGCCCAAGCAACUGUUUAGCAAAAACACAGGUCUAUGCGAAACCGGAAGGUGAGGUAUAUGGGCUGACGCCUGCCCGGUGCUGGAAGGUUAAGGGGAGAGCUUAGCAUGAGCGAAGGUUUGAACUUAAGCCCCAGUAAACGGCGGCCGUAACAAUAACGGUCCUAAGGUAGCGAAAUUCCUUGUCGGGUAAGUUCCGACCCGCACGAAAGGCGUAAUGAUUUGGGCACUGUCUCAACAACACACCCGGUGAAAUUGAAAUACCAGUGAAGAUGCUGGUUAUCCGCGCCAGGACGGAAAGACCCCAUGGAGCUUUACUCCAGCCUGAUACUGGGAUUCGGUAUUGCAUGUACAGGAUAGGUGGGAGGCUAAGAACUUAUGGCGCCAGCCGUAAGGGAGCCGAUGUUGGGAUACCACCCCUGCAGUACUGGGUUUCUAACCUGCGCCCGUGACCCGGGCGGGGGACAAUGUCAGGCGGGGAGUUUGACUGGGGCGGUCGCCUCCGAAAGGGUAUCGGAGGCGCUCAAAGGUCUCCUCAGGAUGGUUGGAAACCAUCCAGAGAGUGCAAAGGCAGAAGGAGGCUUGACUGCGACACCGACGGGUGGAGCAGGUACGAAAGUAGGACUUAGUGAUCCGGUGGCAUAAAGUGGGAUUGCCAUCGCUCAACGGAUAAAAGCUACCCUGGGAUAACAGGCUUAUCACUCCCAAGAGUUCACAUCGACGGAGUGGUUUGGCACCUCGAUGUCGGCUCAUCGCAUCCUGGAGCUGGAGCAGGUUCCAAGGGUUGGGCUGUUCGCCCAUUAAAGCGGUACGCGAGCUGGGUUCAGAACGUCGUGAGACAGUUCGGUCCCUAUCCGGCGCGGGCGCAGGAUAUCUGAGAGGAGCUGUCCUUAGUACGAGAGGACCGGGAUGGACCGUCCGCUGGUGGACCGGUUGUCAUGCCAAUGGCACGGCCGGGUAGCCAAGACGGGAAGGGAUAAACGCUGAAGGCAUCUAAGCGUGAAGCCCCCCUCAAGAUGAGAUAUCCAUACUCGAAAGAGUGAGAGACCCCUUAGAGACGAUGAGGUAGAUAGGGCAGAGAUGGAAGCACAGCGAUGUGUGGAGUUGACUGUUACUAAUCGGUCGAAAGCCC